RNAcentral lists this ribosomal RNA (275 nucleotides) under uncultured bacterium. RNAcentral describes it as "partial 16S ribosomal RNA". It matches the Rfam family "Bacterial small subunit ribosomal RNA", at positions 399 to 691 of the family's 1533-position model. The record is from RNAcentral.
GCGUGAGCGAUGAAGGCCUUAGGGUUGUAAAGCUCUUUCACCGGUGAAGAUAAUGACGGUAACCGGAGAAGAAGCCCCGGCUAACUCCGUGCCAGCAGCCGCGGUAAUACGGAGGGGGCUAGCGUUGUUCGGAAUUACUGGGCGUAAAGCGCACGUAGGCGGAUUGUUAAGUCGGGGGUGAAAUCCCGGGGCUCAACCCCGGAACUGCCUCCGAUACUGGCAGUCUUGAGAUCGAGAGAGGUGAGUGGAAUUCCGAGUGUAGAGGUGAAAUUCGU